This 434-nucleotide ribosomal RNA is filed under the name uncultured bacterium. RNAcentral's name for it is "bacterial SSU rRNA". It matches the Rfam family "Bacterial small subunit ribosomal RNA", at positions 485 to 918 of the family's 1533-position model. The record is from RNAcentral.
AAGAAGCACCGGCUAACUCCGUGCCAGCAGCCGCGGUAAUACGGAGGGUGCAAGCGUUAAUCGGAAUUACUGGGCGUAAAGCGCGCGUAGGCGGUUUGUUAAGUCGGAUGUGAAAUCCCCGGGCUCAACCUGGGCACUGCAUCCGAUACUGGCUGACUAGAGUGUGGGAGAGGAAGGUAGAAUUCCAGGUGUAGCGGUGAAAUGCGUAGAGAUCUGGAGGAAUACCGAUGGCGAAGGCAGCCUUCUGGCCUGACACUGACGCUGAGGUGCGAAAGCAUGGGGAGCAAACAGGAUUAGAUACCCUGGUAGUCCAUGCCGUAAACGAUGUCAACUAGCCGUUGGGGACCUUGAGUCUUUAGUGGCGCAGCUAACGCGAUAAGUUGACCGCCUGGGGAGUACGGCCGCAAGGUUAAAACUCAAAUGAAUUGACGGGG